UGGGGAAUUUUGGACAAUGGGCGAAAGCCUGAUCCAGCAAUGCCGCGUGUGUGAAGAAGGCCUUCGGGUUGUAAAGCACUUUUGUCCGGAAAGAAAUCCUUGGCUCUAAUACAGUCGGGGGAUGACGGUACCGGAAGAAUAAGCACCGGCUAACUACGUGCCAGCAGCCGCGGUAAUACGUAGGGUGCAAGCGUUAAUCGGAAUUACUGGGCGUAAAGCGUGCGCAGGCGGUUUGCUAAGACCGAUGUGAAGUCCCCGGGCUCAACCUGGGAACUGCAUUGGUGACUGGCAGGCUAGAGUAUGGCAGAGGGGGGUAGAAUUCCACGUGUAGCAGUGAAAUGCGUAGAGAUGUGGAGGAAUACCGAUGGCGAAGGCAGCCCCCUGGGCCAAUACUGACGCUCAUGCACGAAAGCGUGGGGAGCAAACAGGAUUAGAUACCCCUGGUAGUCCACGCCCUAAACGAUGUCAACUAGUUGUUGGGGAUUCAUUUCCUUAGUAACGUAGCUAACGCGUGAAGUUGACCGCCUGGGGAGUACGGUCGCAAGAUUAAACUUAAUGAAUUGACGGGGUCAUAGCUGUUUCCU
RNAcentral lists this ribosomal RNA (584 nucleotides) under uncultured bacterium. Its description in RNAcentral is "partial 16S ribosomal RNA". It matches the Rfam family "Bacterial small subunit ribosomal RNA", at positions 355 to 1375 of the family's 1533-position model. The record is from RNAcentral.